Molecule: ribosomal RNA, 491 nt
Filed under: uncultured bacterium
Lineage: Bacteria
Description: partial 16S ribosomal RNA
Rfam family: Bacterial small subunit ribosomal RNA
Source: RNAcentral
GAUGAACGCUGUCUACAGGCUUAACACAUGCAAGUCGAGGGGAAACGACGGGGAAGCUUGCUUCCCCGGGCGUCGACCGGCGUACGGGUGAGUAACGCGUAUCCAACCUGCCUCUGACUGAGGGAUAACCCGUCGAAAGUCGGCCUAAUACCUCAUGGCAUCGUCUGCGGGCAUCCAACGACGAUUAAAGAUUUCAUCGGUCAGGGAUGGGGAUGCGUCUGGUUAGCUUGUUGGCGGGGGAACGGCCCACCCAGGCUACGAUCAGUGGCGUUUCUGAGGGGCAGGUCCCCCACAAUGGAGCUGAGACACGGUCCAAACUCCUACGCGAGACAGGAGUGAGGAAUAUUGGUCAAUGGGCGUUAGCCUGAAACAGCCAAGUAGCGUGCAGGAUGACGGGCAUGUGGGUUGUAAACUGCUUGUAUGCAGGGAUAAAGGGCGGAACGUGUCCUUCAUUGAAGGUACCGCAUGAAUAAGGACCGGCUAAUUCCGUG